Molecule: long non-coding RNA, 218 nt
Organism: Neopelma chrysocephalum (saffron-crested tyrant-manakin)
Lineage: Eukaryota; Metazoa; Chordata; Aves; Passeriformes; Pipridae
Exons: 2
Source: RefSeq, a predicted model, not a curated record
CCGUGGGACUUUCUGCCACAGUGGGAAAUGCCCUCGUGGCAACGCUUACCUGGGGUUGUGUCGUUUCGGGUAUAAUUGCUGCAGAUGGUUGUAGUGUGGCUAAUUGCAGAGAAUCUCCAGGGAUGAUUGCUUUUGGCAUUGUUGGAUUCGGGGAAUUGUUGUACCAGUCAUCAAGGAUUUGUCAUUCUUCUCUCAAUAAAAGCAAGAUUUAGGAAGUU